RNAcentral lists this ribosomal RNA (497 nucleotides) under uncultured bacterium. RNAcentral's name for it is "partial 16S ribosomal RNA". It matches the Rfam family "Bacterial small subunit ribosomal RNA", at positions 28 to 507 of the family's 1533-position model. The record is from RNAcentral.
GAUGAACGCUGGCGGCGUGCCUAAUACAUGCAAGUCGAGCGAACAGAUGAGGAGCUUGCUCCUCUGACAUUAGCGGCGGACGGGUGAGUAACACGUGGAUAACCUACCUAUAAGACUGGGAUAACUUCGGGAAACCGGAGCUAAUACCGGAUAAUAUAUUGAACCGCAUGGUUCAAUAGUGAAAGACGGUUUUGCUGUCACUUAUAGAUGGAUCCGCGCCGCAUUAGCUAGUUGGUAAGGUAACGGCUUACCAAGGCAACGAUGCGUAGCCGACCUGAGAGGGUGAUCGGCCACACUGGAACUGAGACACGGUCCAGACUCCUACGGGAGGCAGCAGUAGGGAAUAUUCCGCAAUGGGCGAAAGCCUGACGGAGCAACGCCGCGUGAGUGAUGAAGGUCUUCGGAUCGUAAAACUCUGUUAUUAGGGAAGAACAAAUGUGUAAGUAACUAUGCACGUCUUGACGGUACCUAAUCAGAAAGCCACGGCUAACUACGUG